This 45-nucleotide non-coding RNA is filed under the name Schistosoma curassoni. The record is from RNAcentral. Lineage: Eukaryota; Metazoa; Platyhelminthes; Trematoda; Strigeidida; Schistosomatidae.
AUCCAGCUGACGAGUCCUAAAUGGGACGAAACGUGUGUCUUAGGU